This 482-nucleotide ribosomal RNA is filed under the name uncultured bacterium. RNAcentral describes it as "partial 16S ribosomal RNA". It matches the Rfam family "Bacterial small subunit ribosomal RNA", at positions 30 to 507 of the family's 1533-position model. The record is from RNAcentral.
AUUGAACGCUGGCGGCAUGCUUUACACAUGCAAGUCGAACGGUAACAGGCCGCAAGGUGCUGACGAGUGGCGAACGGGUGAGUAAUGCAUCGGAACGUGCCCAGUCGUGGGGGAUAACUACUCGAAAGAGUAGCUAAUACCGCAUACGAUCUAUGGAUGAAAGCGGGGGACCGUAAGGCCUCGCGCGAUUGGAGCGGCCGAUGUCAGAUUAGGUAGUUGGUGGGGUAAAGGCUCACCAAGCCAACGAUCUGUAGCUGGUCUGAGAGGACGACCAGCCACACUGGGACUGAGACACGGCCCAGACUCCUACGGGAGGCAGCAGUGGGGAAUUAUGGACAAUGGGCGCAAGCCUGAUCCAGCAAUGCCGCGUGCAGGAAGAAGGCCUUCGGGUUGUAAACUGCUUUUGUACGGAACGAAACGGCUCUGGUUAAUACCCGGGGCUAAUGACGGUACCGUAAGAAUAAGCACCGGCUAACUACGUG